GGCUUUAUAUUCAAUUAUGAUUUGGAUUUGCAAGUUCCAAGAUGUAUUAAAUAUACUAAGGCCU
This 64-nucleotide transfer RNA is filed under the name Chorotypus fenestratus. RNAcentral's name for it is "tRNA-Cys". Lineage: Eukaryota; Metazoa; Arthropoda; Insecta; Orthoptera; Chorotypidae. The record is from RNAcentral.